Long non-coding RNA from Dromaius novaehollandiae (emu), 237 nucleotides. RefSeq lists it as uncharacterized. Lineage: Eukaryota; Metazoa; Chordata; Aves; Casuariiformes; Dromaiidae. The transcript is spliced from 2 exons. The record is from RefSeq and is a predicted model, not a curated record.
CUCCCAGUGUCCCCAGUCCCUGCUCCGCACUGGGGCCAGCUCCCCCAGUGUCCCCAGUCCCUGCUCCGCACUGGGCAGAUGGGCCCAGUUCUCCCAGUAGCCCCAGUUGCCCCCCCGGGGGGGGGUCCGCCUGCCCCCAUGUGCCCAGGGGGAGCCGGAGCCGCUCAGCGCCGCGCCAAAAACGGGGGGAAUCGGGUCGGGGGGCUUUUCCUUUUUUUUUUUUUUUUUUUCCUUUUU